AAUCAACGCUGGCGGCGUGCCUAACACAUGCAAGUCGAACGCGACUGGGGACUUCGGUUCCCAGUUGAGUGGCGAACGGGUGAGUAACACGUGGGUGAUCUACCUUCGAGUGGGGGAUAACGUUCCGAAAGAACGCUAAUACCGCAUGACGUUCCGGUUUGAAGACCUGGAAACCAAAGCCGGGGACCNCAAGGCCUGGCGCUACAAAGAGGAGCCCGCGUCCGAUUAGCUAGUUGGCGGGGUAAC
RNAcentral lists this ribosomal RNA (246 nucleotides) under uncultured bacterium. Its description in RNAcentral is "partial 16S ribosomal RNA". It matches the Rfam family "Bacterial small subunit ribosomal RNA", at positions 32 to 261 of the family's 1533-position model. The record is from RNAcentral.